RNAcentral lists this transfer RNA (73 nucleotides) under Acidobacteriota bacterium. Its description in RNAcentral is "tRNA-Thr". It matches the Rfam family "tRNA". Rfam says of the family: Transfer RNA (tRNA) molecules are approximately 80 nucleotides in length. Their secondary structure includes four short double-helical elements and three loops (D, anti-codon, and T loops). Further hydrogen bonds mediate the characteristic L-shaped molecular structure. tRNAs have two regions of fundamental functional importance: the anti-codon, which is responsible for specific mRNA codon recognition, and the 3' end, to which the tRNAs corresponding amino acid is attached (by aminoacyl-tRNA synthetases). tRNAs cope with the degeneracy of the genetic code in two manners: having more than one tRNA (with a specific anti-codon) for a particular amino acid; and 'wobble' base-pairing, i.e. permitting non-standard base-pairing at the 3rd anti-codon position. The record is from RNAcentral. Lineage: Bacteria; Pseudomonadati; Acidobacteriota. RNAcentral also lists the same sequence under 3 other names.
GCCGAUGUAGCUCAGUUGGUAGAGCAGUUGAUUUGUAAUCAUCAGGUCGCAGGUUCGACUCCUGUCAUCGGCU